This 599-nucleotide ribosomal RNA is filed under the name uncultured archaeon. RNAcentral's name for it is "bacterial SSU rRNA". The stretch from base 117 to 599 matches the Rfam family "Archaeal small subunit ribosomal RNA", at positions 1 to 489 of the family's 1478-position model. The record is from RNAcentral.
GGAGUCCGGUGAUCCCGCGGAAUUGGAGUCACGCCGGACUUCCGGUUGAUCCCGCCGGAAUUGGAGUCAACGCCGGGGUUCCGGUUGAUCCUGCCGGAAUUGGAUUCAACGCCGGGGUUCCGGUUGAUCCUGCCGGACCUGACUGCUAUCGGAUUGGUACUAAGCCAUGCGAGUCGUUGUAGCAAUACAAGGCGGACUGCUCAGUAACACGUAGUCAACUUAACCUAUGGAUGGGCAUAACCUCGGGAAACUGAGAAUAAUACCCAAUGGACCACAGUGCCUGGAAUGGCCUGUGGUUGAAAUGAUUUAUCGCCGUAGGAUAGGACUGCGGCCUAUCAGCUUGUUGGUGAGGUAAAGGCCCACCAAGGCUAUAACAGGUACGGGCUCUGAAAGGAGGGGCCCGGAGAUGGGUACUGAGACACGGACCCAGGCCCUAUGGGGCGCAGCAGGCGAGAAACCUUUGCAAUGUGCGAAAGCACGACAAGGUUAAUCCGAGUGUCUCCUGCUAAAGGAGUCUUUUGUCAGUUGUAGAAUCACUGGUGAAUACGGGGUGGGCAAGUUCUGGUGUCAGCCGCCGCGGGUAAACCAGCACCUCGAGU